RNAcentral lists this ribosomal RNA (552 nucleotides) under Alternaria alternata. RNAcentral describes it as "eukaryotic LSU rRNA". The stretch from base 198 to 351 matches the Rfam family "5.8S ribosomal RNA". Lineage: Eukaryota; Fungi; Ascomycota; Dothideomycetes; Pleosporales; Pleosporaceae. The record is from RNAcentral.
UCUCCGUAGGUGAACCUGCGGAGGGAUCAUUACACAAAUAUGAAGGCGGGCUGGAACCUCUCGGGGUUACAGCCUUGCUGAAUUAUUCACCCUUGUCUUUUGCGUACUUCUUGUUUCCUUGGUGGGUUCGCCCACCACUAGGACAAACAUAAACCUUUUGUAAUUGCAAUCAGCGUCAGUAACAAAUUAAUAAUUACAACUUUCAACAACGGAUCUCUUGGUUCUGGCAUCGAUGAAGAACGCAGCGAAAUGCGAUAAGUAGUGUGAAUUGCAGAAUUCAGUGAAUCAUCGAAUCUUUGAACGCACAUUGCGCCCUUUGGUAUUCCAAAGGGCAUGCCUGUUCGAGCGUCAUUUGUACCCUCAAGCUUUGCUUGGUGUUGGGCGUCUUGUCUCUAGCUUUGCUGGAGACUCGCCUUAAAGUAAUUGGCAGCCGGCCUACUGGUUUCGGAGCGCAGCACAAGUCGCACUCUCUAUCAGCAAAGGUCUAGCAUCCAUUAAGCCUUUUUUUCAACUUUUGACCUCGGAUCAGGUAGGGAUACCCGCUGAACUUAA